Molecule: long non-coding RNA, 319 nt
Organism: Ornithodoros turicata
Lineage: Eukaryota; Metazoa; Arthropoda; Arachnida; Ixodida; Argasidae
Exons: 2
Source: RefSeq, a predicted model, not a curated record
UGGAUCCGCCUAUGAGUGCGGGUGCAAGGUGAAGGCUUCUAAAAAAGAAUACAACGAAAGUAAAGGGUGAAGGGGUUAAUAUAUCCUAUUUGAGUUUGCAACUUGAGCGUAACGGAAUAAGAAGCAAGAGAAAGAGAGAGCAGGAGAGAGAGAGAGAGAGAGAAAAGUGCUGCGUCUGGUCAUCGUUUGCCGUGUGCAUCAAGUGCAUUCCUGCCGUUCAAAUUAAACUGUGUAUUCUAUGAAUUAUCAUACUGGUGCGUUCAAGUGUUGCACUCGUUUCUGUAAGCCUAAGAAUAAUAAUAAUAAAAAGAAAAACACA